Molecule: long non-coding RNA, 2652 nt
Filed under: Sus scrofa (pig)
Lineage: Eukaryota; Metazoa; Chordata; Mammalia; Artiodactyla; Suidae
Description: lncRNA (ENSSSCG00055017143.1)
Source: RNAcentral
AGUUUCCUUUGCUAUACAAAAGUUUGUAAGUUUGAUUAGGUCCCAUUUGUUUAUUUUUGUUUUUAUUUCUAUUUCCUUGGAAGACUGAUGUAAGAAAACAUUUGUAUGGUUGAUGUCAGAGAAUGUGUUGCAUAUGUUCUCUUCUGGGAGUUUUAUGGUGUCUUGUCUUAUGUUUAAGUCUUUAAGCCAUUUUGAGUUUAUUUUUGCACAUGGUGUGAGGGUGUGUUCUAGCUUUAUUUAUUUAUAUGCAGCUGCAUAAUACAUAUACACAAGGAAAUAUUACUCAGCCAUAAAAAAGAAUGAAAUAAUGCCAGUUGCCGCAACAUGGAUGCAAUUAGAGAUUCUCAUACUAAGUAAGUCAGAAAGAGAAAGAAAAAUACCAUAUGAUAUUAUUUAUAUGUGGAAUCUAAAAUAUGGUACAAAUGAACCUAUCUACAAAACAGAAGCACACUCACAGACAUGGAGAACAUACUUGUGGUUGUCAAGGGUAGUAGCAGAGUAGGAGGGACGAGAGUUUGGGGUUAGUAGGUACAAACUGUUACAUUUAGAAUGGAUAAGCAAUGAGGUCCUACGUACAGCACAGGGAACUAUAUCCAAUCUCCUGGAAUAGAACAUUAUGGAAGAUAAUAUAAGAAAAAGAAUGUGUGUGUAUGUAUGUGAGUGUGAGUAUAUAUAUAUAUACAUGUAUAUAAAAAUAUAUAUGACUGGGUCACUUUGCUGUACAGCAGAAAUUUUUGUAACAUUGUAAGUCAACUAUAAAUGAAAUUUUUUUUAAUUAAAUAAAAAAUAAAAUAAAAUACAGCAACAACAGCAAAAAAGAAUAUGACCACAGCAGCUCAGGUUGCUGUGGAGGAAUAGGUUAGGUCCCUGGCCCAGUGUAGUGGAUUAAAGGAUCCAGCAUUACCAUAGCUGUGACAUAAGUCAGCAGUUGUGGCUCAGAUUCAGUCCCUGGCUAGGAACUUCCAUAUGCUGUGGGUGUGGCUGUAAAAUUUAAACUAAAAAAAAAAAAAAAAAAGUAUAGGAUUAACAGGUACAAAGUACUAUACAUAAAACAGAUAAGCAACAAGGAUUUACUGCAUAGCUGCAUAGCACAGAUAAUUAUAACUAAUGUCUUAUAAUAACCUGUAAUAAGAUAUAAUCUAAAAAAAAAAACAGAAUCACUUUGCUAUAUACCUGAAACUAACACUGUAUUAUAAAUAAACUACAAUUUUUUUUUGUCUUUUUGCUAUAUCUUGGGUAAACUACAAUUUUUAACACACACACAAAAAAACAAAAUUAAAACCAUUCUCAUAGGGUAUACAAAAAUAAGCCAUGAGCUAGAACUGACAUGUCUGUUGACCUCUGAAUUAGAAUAAUUCAGUAAGGAGUUCCCGUCGUGGCGCAGUGGUUAACGAAUCCGACUAGGAACCAUGAGGUUGCGUGUUCGGUCCCUGCCCUUGCUCAGUGGGUUAACGAUCUGGCGUUGCUGUGAGCUGUGGUGUAGGUUGCAGACGCGGCUCAGAUCCAGCGUUGCUGUGGCUCUGGCGUAGGAUGGUGGCCACAGCUCCGAUUCGACCCCUAGCCUGGGAACCUCCAUAUGCCGCAGGGCCCUAAAAUACAAACAAACAAAAAAAAAAAACAAAAAGUUUGCCACUGCAGCAGAAAGAAUAUGGAGAAUUGCAUGGGGAGAUUCUUGUGAACAAGGCCUUCUGGGUACAACUUCCAUCAGAACUCCUUCAUGUCAGCAUAUCUAACUGUAGAACAGGCUAGGAAAACUUGUUUUGCUGUGUGCUCAAGAGGAAAAGGAAACAGACUUGGGUAACAGUGAGCAAAUCUCCAUUACAAUGUCCAAUGAAUUUAAGUAGCCAGGCCCAAUUAUUCAAAGUGUGUGUGUAUAUAUAUAUAUAUAUAUGUAUAUAUAUAUACUUUGCCAGCAUAUUAUUUAACCUGUUGGUACCAUGUAUAAUAUGCCAGAUGAUGAGUUUCAAUAGCUCCUAUGAUAAUUACAAGCUAUUAUUCUUUCAUCUUUCUCUAUGUUCCCAACUACUACACACAAGAUUCACAUUCCUACAGGAAUGAUCAUGACACAUCCAGUCUUGGAGGCCCCACCCUCCCUUUCUCAAUUACCUGUCAUUCCAUGAAAGAAGCAUUGCAAAUACAACUUUGCUAACCUCAUACAUCUAGUUAAUGGCAAGAUUUCCAAGAGAAUUUCAGAUCUCCUUAUCACAGUGAUAUUUUCAUCCUAUCCUACUGCCUUGCCUCCCCAAACUGAGAUAGCCACUAACCAUCUGUCUUCUCUUUGAGGGGAAAAGUUUUGUCUUAUUAAUAUUCUUUUUAUUGCUAGUGCCUAGAACAUAGCUAUGUGCUCAAAAAAGAUUUUCUGUAUAAAUUUUGCACCUAGGAGUUCCCGUCGUGGCGCAGUGAUUAACGAAUCCGACUAGGAACCAUGAGGUUGUGGGUUCGGUCCCUGCCCUUGCUCAGUGGGUUGAUGAUCCAGCACUGCCGUGAGCUGUGGUGUAGGUUGCAGACGCGGCUCGAAUCCCGCGUUGCUGUGGCUCUGAUGUAGGCCAGUGGCUACAGCUCCGAUUCAACCCCUAGCCUGGGAACCUCCAUAUGCCGUGGGAGCGGCCCAAAGAAAUAGCAAAAAGACCAAAAAAAAAAAAAAAAAAAAAA